This 391-nucleotide ribosomal RNA is filed under the name uncultured Flavobacterium sp. RNAcentral's name for it is "bacterial SSU rRNA". It matches the Rfam family "Bacterial small subunit ribosomal RNA", at positions 9 to 410 of the family's 1533-position model. The record is from RNAcentral. Lineage: Bacteria; Pseudomonadati; Bacteroidota; Flavobacteriia; Flavobacteriales; Flavobacteriaceae.
GAGUUUGAUCUUGGCUCAGGAUGAACGCUAGCGGCAGGCUUAACACAUGCAAGUCGAGGGGUAGAGUAGCAAUACUUGAGACCGGCGCACGGGUGCGUAACGCGUAUGCAACCUACCUUUUACAGAGGGAUAGCCCAGAGAAAUUUGGAUUAAUACCUCAUAGUAUAUGUCUUUCGCAUGUUAGACAUAUUAAAGUUCCAACGGUAAAGAUGGGCAUGCGUCCUAUUAGCUAGAUGGUAAGGUAACGGCUUACCAUGGCAACGAUAGGUAGGGUCCUGAGAGGGAGAUCCCCCACACUGGUACUGAGACACGGACCAGACUCCUACGGAGCAGCAGUGAGGAUAUUGGACAAUGGGCGCAAGCCUGAUCCAGCCAUGCCGCGUGCAGGAAG